GCCCGGUUAGCUCUCAGCUGGUUAAAGCGUUCUCGUACUAAUAUAGCCACGAUAGCAUCAAGUUAUAUCGAGUCAUCAUGCAAAGGUCAACAGUUCAAUCCUGUUACUGGGCA
This is a non-coding RNA of Podospora australis, 113 nucleotides long. Lineage: Eukaryota; Fungi; Ascomycota; Sordariomycetes; Sordariales; Podosporaceae. The record is from the annotation of a GenBank genome assembly.